RNAcentral lists this transfer RNA (73 nucleotides) under Thermodesulfobacterium sp. RNAcentral describes it as "tRNA-His". It matches the Rfam family "tRNA". From Rfam's summary of the family: Transfer RNA (tRNA) molecules are approximately 80 nucleotides in length. Their secondary structure includes four short double-helical elements and three loops (D, anti-codon, and T loops). Further hydrogen bonds mediate the characteristic L-shaped molecular structure. tRNAs have two regions of fundamental functional importance: the anti-codon, which is responsible for specific mRNA codon recognition, and the 3' end, to which the tRNAs corresponding amino acid is attached (by aminoacyl-tRNA synthetases). tRNAs cope with the degeneracy of the genetic code in two manners: having more than one tRNA (with a specific anti-codon) for a particular amino acid; and 'wobble' base-pairing, i.e. permitting non-standard base-pairing at the 3rd anti-codon position. The record is from RNAcentral. Lineage: Bacteria; Pseudomonadati; Thermodesulfobacteriota; Thermodesulfobacteria; Thermodesulfobacteriales; Thermodesulfobacteriaceae. RNAcentral also lists the same sequence under 1 other name.
GAGGCUGUAGCUCAAUUGGUAGAGCACCGGGCUGUGGCCCCGGGUGUUGCGGGUUCGAGUCCCGUCAGCCUCC